RNAcentral lists this ribosomal RNA (499 nucleotides) under uncultured Glomeromycotina. RNAcentral describes it as "partial small subunit ribosomal RNA". It matches the Rfam family "Eukaryotic small subunit ribosomal RNA", at positions 591 to 1092 of the family's 1831-position model. Lineage: Eukaryota; Fungi; Glomeromycota. The record is from RNAcentral.
CCAAUAGCGUAUAUUAAAGUUGUUGCAGUUAAAAAGCUCGUAGUUGAAUUUCGGGAUCAAUCUAUCGGUCGUGCAAUAGUACGUACUGAUUUUAUUGAUUCCUCUCUUCUGAUGAACUAUGAUGUCAUUAAUUUGGUGUCAUAGGGAAUCAGGACUGUUACUUUGAAAAAAUUAGAGUGUUUAAAGCAGGCUCACGCUUGAAUACAUUAGCAUGGAAUAACGAAAUAGGACGUUUGAUUCUAUUUUGUUGGUUUCUAGGAUCGACGUAAUGAUUAAUAGGGAUAGUUGGGGGCAUUAGUAUUCAAUUGUCAGAGGUGAAAUUCUUGGAUUUAUUGAAGACUAACUACUGCGAAAGCAUUUGCCAAGGAUGUUUUCAUUAAUCAAGAACGAAAGUUAGGGGAUCGAAGACGAUCAGAUACCGUCGUAGUCUUAACCAUAAACUAUGCCGACUAGGGAUCGGAUGAUGUUAAUUUUUUAAUGACUCAUUCGGCGCCUUACG